CAUGGGAGCGGUUAAAGGCAGCUUAUAAUAUUCUGUUGUGCGUGAAAAUUUCGUAGUUGAAGGCUUGUUUUAGUGGUUAAGUGUGCUGAGAAGUGUUGGAGAAGUCCUGGGUUCAAACCUGGACUCUAGCAAAACUUUUGGUUUAAGGUGAAUCAAACCCUGGGUGUAGUAGGUAGGCCUUAAGAAUAUUGUUGGAGAAAUUGUGACACAAAAAGCCUUGUGGCUUAGUGGCAAG
RNAcentral lists this long non-coding RNA (235 nucleotides) under Gossypium barbadense (sea-island cotton). RNAcentral's name for it is "long non-coding RNA (GBAR_LNC007224)". The record is from RNAcentral. Lineage: Eukaryota; Viridiplantae; Streptophyta; Magnoliopsida; Malvales; Malvaceae.